Molecule: RNase P RNA, 301 nt
Filed under: Paramuricea clavata
Lineage: Eukaryota; Metazoa; Cnidaria; Anthozoa; Malacalcyonacea; Plexauridae
Description: Nuclear RNase P
Rfam family: Nuclear RNase P
About the family: Ribonuclease P (RNase P) is a ubiquitous endoribonuclease, found in archaea, bacteria and eukarya as well as chloroplasts and mitochondria. Its best characterised activity is the generation of mature 5'-ends of tRNAs by cleaving the 5'-leader elements of precursor-tRNAs. Cellular RNase Ps are ribonucleoproteins.
Source: Rfam by way of RNAcentral
UCCGGGUGAAAUGCUCGCUUUAAAGGUUACAAACGUGGAGUUCUAGGACUCCUGCAAUUGCCCUUGGGAAGGUCUGAGACAAAGGUCAACCACGCUCUAGCAGGGCACCCUCCUAAUGUGAGGUGGUGGUUCACAAGAAACAUCCCUGGCAGGUUAUGGCACAUGAUACCCUGUUCACGUAGGGUAGAUGCUAUGUAACCUUGUCAAAGUUGGGAAGUGCCACGACCAGCUUAGUAAGUGCAAUAAGCGAGGUGGUAUGGUUUACAUACCAUAACUCAAUUCAGACUACUCUUCACCCGGA